This 408-nucleotide ribosomal RNA is filed under the name uncultured bacterium. RNAcentral's name for it is "partial 16S ribosomal RNA". It matches the Rfam family "Bacterial small subunit ribosomal RNA", at positions 28 to 526 of the family's 1533-position model. The record is from RNAcentral.
GACGAACGCUGGCGGCGUGCUUAACACAUGCAAGUCGAACGAAGUGGCGAACGGGUGAGUAACGCGUAAUCAACCUGCCCUUCAGAGGGGGACAACAGUUGGAAACGACUGCUAAUACCGCAUACUGAAGGAGGGGAUUGCGUCUGAUUAGCUAGUUGGUGGGGUAAUGGCCUACCAAGCCGACGAUCUCUAGGUGGGCUGGGAGGAUGACCAGCCAAACCGGGACUGGGACACGGCCCGGACUCCUACGGGAGGCAGCAGUGGGGAAUAUUGCGCAAUGGGGGCAACCCUGACGCAGCCAUGCCGCGGGAAUGAAGAAGGCCUUCGGGUUGUAAAGCUCUGUUAAGCGGGACGCGGUACCGGAAUAGAAAGCCACGGCUAACUACGUGCCAGCAGCCGCGGUAAUUC